RNAcentral lists this ribosomal RNA (716 nucleotides) under uncultured archaeon. RNAcentral's name for it is "bacterial SSU rRNA". It matches the Rfam family "Archaeal small subunit ribosomal RNA", at positions 102 to 817 of the family's 1478-position model. The record is from RNAcentral.
GGACAACCUGCCCUCGGGUGGGGGAUAACCCCGGGAAACUGGGGCUAAUCCCCCAUAGGGGAUGGGUACUGGAAUGUCCCAUCUCCGAAAGCGCUUAGCGCCCGAGGAUGGGUCUGCGGCGGAUUAGGUUGUUGGUGGGGUAACGGCCCACCAAGCCGAAGAUCCGUACGGGCCAUGAGAGUGGGAGCCCGGAGAUGGACCCUGAGACACGGGUCCAGGCCCUACGGGGCGCAGCAGGCGCGAAACCUCCGCAAUGCGGGAAACCGCGACGGGGUCAGCCGGAGUGCUCGCGCAUCGCGCGGGCUGUCGGGGUGCCUAAAAAGCACCCCAUAGCAAGGGCCGGGCAAGGCCGGUGGCAGCCGCCGCGGUAAUACCGGCGGCCCGAGUGGCGGCCACUUUUAUUGGGCCUAAAGCGUCCGUAGCCGGGCUGGUAAGUCCUCCGGGAAAUCUGGUCGCUUAACGAUCAGACUGCCGGAGGAUACUGCCAGCCUAGGGACCGGGAGAGGCCGGGGGUAUUCCCGGGGUAGGGGUGAAAUCCUGUAAUCCCGGGAGGACCACCUGUGGCGAAGGCGCCCGGCUGGAACGGGUCCGACGGUGAGGGACGAAGGCCAGGGGAGCGAACCGGAUUAGAUAUCCCGGGUAGUCCUGGCUGUAAACGAUGCGGACUAGGUGUCACCGAAGCUACGAGCUUCGGUGGUGCCGGAGGGAAGCCGUUA